AUAAUGACUCUCGGCAACGGAUAUCUCGGCUCUUACAUCGAUGAAGAACGUAGCAAAAUGCGAUACUUGGUGUGAAUUGCAGAAUCCCGUGAACCAUCGAGUCUUUGAACGCAAGUUGCGCCCGAAUCCAUYUGGUUGAGGGCACGUCUGCCUGGGUGUCACGU
This 164-nucleotide ribosomal RNA is filed under the name Saxifraga oppositifolia. Its description in RNAcentral is "5.8S ribosomal RNA". It matches the Rfam family "5.8S ribosomal RNA". Rfam says of the family: 5.8S ribosomal RNA (5.8S rRNA) is a component of the large subunit of the eukaryotic ribosome. It is transcribed by RNA polymerase I as part of the 45S precursor that also contains 18S and 28S rRNA. Functionally, it is thought that 5.8S rRNA may be involved in ribosome translocation. Lineage: Eukaryota; Viridiplantae; Streptophyta; Magnoliopsida; Saxifragales; Saxifragaceae. The record is from RNAcentral.